AACGGGAUUAGAAACCCCGGUAGUCCUAGCCGUAAACGAUGGAUGCUGGGUCUGGGGGGUAUAGAUCCCCUCCGCGCCGCAGCUAACGCGUUAAGCAUCCCGCCUGGGGANUACGGCCGCAAGGCUUAAACUCAAACGAAUUGACGGGGGCCCGCACAAGCAGCGGAGCGUGUGGUUUAAUUCGAUGCUACACGAAGAACCUUACCUGGGCUUGACAUGUAGGUAGUAGUGAAGCGAAAGCGGAACGACCCUUCGGGGAGCCUACACAGGUGCUGCAUGGCUGUCGUCAGUUCGUGCCGUGAGGUGUCGGGUUAAGUCCCGUAACGAACGCAACCCUUGCCCUUAGUUACAUGUGUCUAAGGGGACUGCCCGGGACAACUGGGAGGAAGGUGGGGAUGACGUCAAGUCAGCAUGGCCUUUAUGUCCAGGGCUACACACACGCUACAAUGGCCGGUACAAUGGGUCGCCAAGCCGUGAGGCGGAGCCAAUCCCGCAAAGCCGGUCUAAGUUCGGAUUGUGGGCUGCAACUCGCCCAUAUGAAGCUGGAGUUGCUAGUAACCGCGCGUCAGCAAUAGUGCGGUGAUACGUUCCCGGGCCUUGUACACACCGCCCGUCACGUCAUGGAAGCUGGCAACACCUGAAGCCAGUGAGCUAACCCGCAAGGGGGCAGCUGUCGAAGGUGGGGCUGGUGACUGGGACGAAGUCG
This 706-nucleotide ribosomal RNA is filed under the name uncultured organism. Its description in RNAcentral is "bacterial SSU rRNA". It matches the Rfam family "Bacterial small subunit ribosomal RNA", at positions 771 to 1488 of the family's 1533-position model. The record is from RNAcentral.